AUGAUUCCCCCAGUAAUGGCGAAUGAACAGGGAAAAGCUCAAAGUUGGAACCUCCUGGCCCUAGGUUAGGCGGAUUGUAAACUAAAGUUUUCGAGUAGUUUGGCUAGCCCGGUAAAUAAGUUCUCUGGAAAGGGACGACAAAGAGGGUGAAAUCCCCGUUUUUGGCCGGAGCAUAGUCUUGCGUUUGCUUGGGAAUGAAGAGUCAGGUUGUUUGGUAUUGCAGCCUAAAGUGGGAGGUAAAUCUCUCCUAAAGCUAAAUAUUGACGAAAGACCGAUAGCGAACAAGUACCGUGAGGGAAAGAUGAAAAGCACCUUGAAAAGGGGGUCAAAAAGUACGUGAAAUUGCUGAAAGGGAACCGUAUGAAAUCAGCUUGGCCGUAUAGUAAUCAGCCUAAACUUUGGUUUGGGUGCACUUGCUAUUUGGUACAGCCUACGACAAUUUUGCUCGGGGGAAAAAAUCAGGGGAAAUGUAGCUUCGGCCUCGGUCGAAGUGUUAUAGGCCUUUGAAAAAUACUCUGGGCGGGAUUGAGGAACGCAGCAAGCCUUUGGGAUGAACUGUGGGCGCUUAUUGGCCAUUGGGGGGAAAUUUCUAUUCAGGUAGUGUUCUCUCAAUGGUUGGUAACUCGGCCACUUUUUCUUUCUCUUGCUUAGGUCGUAGGCAUAAUGAUUUUAUAUGACCCGUCUUGAAACACGGACCAAGGAGUCCACCAUUAUUGCGAGUCUUUGGGCGUAAAAACUCAUCGGCGCAAGGAAACUGACCAAGAUAUGAAGGCGCAAGCUGGCAAUAUCCUCCAGCGAAGACGUUUUAUACUGAAUUGACUGAGAGAAAGCAAUAAUGAUGGGACCCGAAAGAUGGUGAACUAUACUUGAAUAGGGUGAAGCCAGAGGAAACUCUGGUGGAAGCUCGUAGCGAUUCUGACGUGCAAAUCGAUCGUCAAAUUUGAGUAUAGGGGCGAAAGACUAAUCGAACCAUCU
RNAcentral lists this ribosomal RNA (975 nucleotides) under Absidia sp. (in: mucoromycotan fungi). RNAcentral's name for it is "Absidia sp. (in: Fungi) partial large subunit ribosomal RNA". It matches the Rfam family "Eukaryotic large subunit ribosomal RNA", at positions 71 to 945 of the family's 3401-position model. Lineage: Eukaryota; Fungi; Mucoromycota; Mucoromycetes; Mucorales; Cunninghamellaceae. The record is from RNAcentral.